GCCUAUCCCCUGGGGUGGAUUAGUCAUGUCCAGCAGCACACACCUAGUCUCACCUUCAGGAAGGCUGCCUGCCUGGCCUGCUGCCUGGGCCUCUCUGUUCAAAGACUGCCUGGCUAUCCUGCCCAGCCUCCCUGGUCAUCUGGGGUCCUCUGGGUGGGUGGCAUGUCCUAGAGGGUGAUGGUUGUCCUCCUCUAUGCAUACAUGUGGUGCUGCUCUGUGUGCACAGCCUGAUCACAGUGUGUUUCCUCUCUCCGUCCCUUCCGUCUUUUUCUGAGACUCCAGACCUUGCAGUGACUUUAGCCCAGGAAAACUAAUUCGCCCUGAGGAUGAACAUUUUGGCCUCUUGUGUGGGGCCACCCUGGUUGGCUUGAUCAGAUGGAGGCUGUGUCAGCUUUAGCUGACACACAGCCUCCUGAAUUCUCCUUCAGUCUCUGCUGUCCCCACAGAGUACUAAAAGUCAAAGUGGCUAGUGGACAUUCCCCCGAGUUCUUUGGUCUUCUCGUCACAUGAGAAAAUACCCUUUAAGGUUGCUGGUGAGGGACAUGCAGGCACAUUAGCCCCACUGCCAAGCCAGGUCAGGAUCUGGGAAGUGGGCAAGAAAGAUAACAUGGCUGCUAGUGAACUACAUACAGUGCCUCUCCAAGUCCCACCACCAUCACGGCCAUCCUCAUCUUUAGCUUCCUAUAAUGACAGCAGCUAUUGAGGCUAGACCAGGCAAGAACAGGCCAUAUCAUCCAAACCUUUCCAGAAACAAACCGUAAUAGGCUGUUUUUGUGUUUGGUUGAGACCUUUUGUUGUUGUUGUUGUUGUUUUAUUAUGUUUUUCCUCCCUAAAAUCUGGCCCUGGCCCUUUUUUGAUCACAAAUCUAGCAUCUCACCAGAAAACUGCCUGACAUAAAAAGCCCCAUUUUAAUGGGCUCUUUUUGUCCUUUUUUCUUUUAAAACGUGCUUUUAUGUAUUUCUGAGAGGACUGUCUCGGACACCUUGGAGCCUGUCUUCCCUGGGGCUAAGAUGAAGCUAGGUGGUGCUGUACCCCUUCCCAGACUCCAGACUUCCCUUACUCAAGGGUUACUGGCUAUCCUAGAUCUGAUACGACGGCCUUUGGGUCUCAGACUCCCUAGAAUACCCAGUGACCCCAAGAUGAUGCUGCUGAGCACAGAGACCAUUCUAAAUCCUCUGUGUAUCUAGUUUCAAGACAGCUCCUUUUGCCAAACAUACUAUUUUCAGCCGCCCUUUGGCCUGUGCCUGACGUAUUCCCAAUGAACUUGGCUUGGCUGGAAUUGGGGGAAGGGGAGGCUUCUUGCCCAGAGAUUCCCACAGGACAGUUGGGAAAGCUGUUGGCAUUAUCUUUCUGGGAAGAUUUUGCUAUCUUGGACCAAAUGAUGGCCUACAUUCCCACAGUAUCUUGGCUAUGUGCCACCCCUGCCCCUCCCAACACUCUGUCUACACGUGUGCACACAUAUAGGCAUCUUGCCCUGUCUAGUACUCUUUGCUGUCCUGAAUCCCAGCCCUGGCUGUGUGGGCCUACUGUGUGGCAGGAACACUCAGGACCUGUUGAACUUGAAAGAUCUUUAGACUUAAACUACCGAUUGUACUUGGUACGCCGGGAAUACAGCCAGAAAGGACAGUGUCCCACCUGCUCUUCCUUGUUGGUAGUUUUCUGUUCCUGGGCAAUGGGAGGAGGUCCCUUGGAAAGCCUUAGUGUACCAGCUGACUGUGGGAUCCUGUUGGGGAGCCAGCAACAACAGUGGAGGGCUUCUGUCCUCCAUUGCCCUGCCCUCAAACCUGUCUCCUUCAUUCAAGUGGGGCUGGGCUGUGGUUGAAGAAAUCAGUGUUUUAAUCAGAGUUUACAGAAAUCAUUUUACUUUGUACAAUACCAUCCUAUGUAAAGAUGAAAUUUGUGUUGGAAUAAAGAUCACACAGUAUUUGAGGCCA
This 1934-nucleotide long non-coding RNA is filed under the name Rattus norvegicus (Norway rat). RNAcentral's name for it is "long non-coding RNA NONRATT026562". The record is from RNAcentral. Lineage: Eukaryota; Metazoa; Chordata; Mammalia; Rodentia; Muridae.